Molecule: transfer RNA, 72 nt
Filed under: Hilsa kelee (kelee shad)
Lineage: Eukaryota; Metazoa; Chordata; Actinopteri; Clupeiformes; Clupeidae
Description: tRNA-Gly
Rfam family: tRNA
About the family: Transfer RNA (tRNA) molecules are approximately 80 nucleotides in length. Their secondary structure includes four short double-helical elements and three loops (D, anti-codon, and T loops). Further hydrogen bonds mediate the characteristic L-shaped molecular structure. tRNAs have two regions of fundamental functional importance: the anti-codon, which is responsible for specific mRNA codon recognition, and the 3' end, to which the tRNAs corresponding amino acid is attached (by aminoacyl-tRNA synthetases). tRNAs cope with the degeneracy of the genetic code in two manners: having more than one tRNA (with a specific anti-codon) for a particular amino acid; and 'wobble' base-pairing, i.e. permitting non-standard base-pairing at the 3rd anti-codon position.
Source: RNAcentral
AUCUUUCUAGUAUAAAAGACAGUACGGGUGGCUUCCAACCACUUAAUCUUGGUUAAAGCCCAAGGGAAGAUA